RNAcentral lists this ribosomal RNA (253 nucleotides) under uncultured bacterium. Its description in RNAcentral is "partial 16S ribosomal RNA". It matches the Rfam family "Bacterial small subunit ribosomal RNA", at positions 524 to 776 of the family's 1533-position model. The record is from RNAcentral.
UACGAAGGGGGCUAGCGUUGUUCGGAAUCACUGGGCGUAAAGCGUACGUAGGCGGAUUGUUAAGUCAGGGGUGAAAGCCCGAGGCUCAACCUCGGAAUUGCCUUUGAUACUGGCUGUCUUGAGUCCGGGAGAGGUGAGUGGAACUCCUAGUGUAGAGGUGAAAUUCGUAGAUAUUAGGAAGAACACCAGUGGCGAAGGCGGCUCACUGGCCCGGAACUGACGCUGAUGUACGAAAGCGUGGGGAGCAAACAGG